Molecule: ribosomal RNA, 1091 nt
Filed under: Staphylococcus aureus
Lineage: Bacteria; Bacillati; Bacillota; Bacilli; Caryophanales; Staphylococcaceae
Also listed under: 2 other names
Description: bacterial SSU rRNA
Rfam family: Bacterial small subunit ribosomal RNA
Source: RNAcentral
AGAGUUUGAUCCUGGCUCAGGAUGAACGCUGGCGGCGUGCCUAAUACAUGCAAGUCGAGCGAACGGACGAGAAGCUUGCUUCUCUGAUGUUAGCGGCGGACGGGUGAGUAACACGUGGAUAACCUACCUAUAAGACUGGGAUAACUUCGGGAAACCGGAGCUAAUACCGGAUAAUAUUUUGAACCGCAUGGUUCAAAAGUGAAAGACGGUCUUGCUGUCACUUAUAGAUGGAUCCGCGCUGCAUUAGCUAGUUGGUAAGGUAACGGCUUACCAAGGCAACGAUGCAUAGCCGACCUGAGAGGGUGAUCGGCCACACUGGAACUGAGACACGGUCCAGACUCCUACGGGAGGCAGCAGUAGGGAAUCUUCCGCAAUGGGCGAAAGCCUGACGGAGCAACGCCGCGUGAGUGAUGAAGGUCUUCGGAUCGUAAAACUCUGUUAUUAGGGAAGAACAUAUGUGUAAGUAACUGUGCACAUCUUGACGGUACCUAAUCAGAAAGCCACGGCUAACUACGUGCCAGCAGCCGCGGUAAUACGUAGGUGGCAAGCGUUAUCCGGAAUUAUUGGGCGUAAAGCGCGCGUAGGCGGUUUUUUAAGUCUGAUGUGAAAGCCCACGGCUCAACCGUGGAGGGUCAUUGGAAACUGGAAAACUUGAGUGCAGAAGAGGAAAGUGGAAUUCCAUGUGUAGCGGUGAAAUGCGCAGAGAUAUGGAGGAACACCAGUGGCGAAGGCGACUUUCUGGUCUGUAACUGACGCUGAUGUGCGAAAGCGUGGGGAUCAAACAGGAUUAGAUACCCUGGUAGUCCACGCCGUAAACGAUGAGUGCUAAGUGUUAGGGGGUUUCCGCCCCUUAGUGCUGCAGCUAACGCAUUAAGCACUCCGCCUGGGGAGUACGACCGCAAGGUUGAAACUCAAAGGAAUUGACGGGGACCCGCACAAGCGGUGGAGCAUGUGGUUUAAUUCGAAGCAACGCGAAGAACCUUACCAAAUCUUGACAUCCUUUGACAACUCUAGAGAUAGAGCCUUCCCCUUCGGGGGACAAAGUGACAGGUGGUGCAUGGUUGUCGUCAGCUCGUGUCGUGAGAUGUUGG